GACGAACGCUGGCGGCGUGCCUAAUACAUGCAAGUAGAACGCUGAAGGAGGAGCUUGCUUCUCUGGAUGAGUUGCGAACGGGUGAGUAACGCGUAGGUAACCUGCCUGGUAGCGGGGGAUAACUAUUGGAAACGAUAGCUAAUACCGCAUAAUAGCAGUUGUUGCAUGACAACUGUUUGAAAGGUGCAAUUGCACCACUACCAGAUGGACCUGCGUUGUAUUAGCUAGUUGGUGGGGUAACGGCUCACCAAGGCGACGAUACAUAGCCGACCUGAGAGGGUGAUCGGCCACAAUGGGACUGAGACACGGCCCAGACUCCUACGGGAGGCAGCAGUAGGGAAUCUUCGGCAAUGGACGGAAGUCUGACCGAGCAACGCCGCGUGAGUGAAGAAGGUUUUCGGAUCGUAAAGCUCUGUUGUAAGAGAAGAACGAGUGUGAGAGUGGAAAGUUCACACUGUGACGGUAUCUUACCAGAAAGGGACGGCUAACUACGUG
This 495-nucleotide ribosomal RNA is filed under the name uncultured bacterium. Its description in RNAcentral is "partial 16S ribosomal RNA". It matches the Rfam family "Bacterial small subunit ribosomal RNA", at positions 28 to 507 of the family's 1533-position model. The record is from RNAcentral.